CUGUAAAAACUGAUGAAGAUAAUAUUUAUAUCAGUGUGAAAGGAGGUGUAAAACCUGAUGCAUCUGCAGAAAUAGUGUUUAGUGGGAAGGCUCAACCUGGUGUGACUGCAACUGAUGUCAAUGUGGAUGAGGUGAGAAUGGUAGUCGAUGAGGAGCUAGAGGGGUUUGGCUUCACUGGCAAGAAUGAAUUGAUAAAUGGGAAGGCAGCUGUAAUUGGAUUCUUGCUGUUAUUAGACUUUGAACUCUUGACUGGGAAAGGUCUCCUCAAGG
This 270-nucleotide unclassified non-coding RNA is filed under the name Hevea brasiliensis (rubber tree). Lineage: Eukaryota; Viridiplantae; Streptophyta; Magnoliopsida; Malpighiales; Euphorbiaceae. The record is from RNAcentral.